AAUAACUCGCCGAAAGCGUGCUAAUGCCGAUAAGACCUCGGGAGCCUCGGCUCCUGCGGGAAAAGGUGGCCUCUGUAUACGAAGCUAUCACUUCAGGAUGAGCCCGCGGCCCAUCAGCUCGUUGCGGGUAAUGGCCCACCAAGGCUACGACGGUAGCUGGUCUGAGAGGACGAUCAGCCACACUGGAACUGAGACACGGUCCAGACUCCUACGGGAGGCAGCAGUGGGGAAUCUUGCGCAAUGGGCGAAAGCCUGACGCAGCAACGCCGCGUGUGUGAUGAAGGUCUUCGGAUCGUAAAGCACUGUCGCGAGGGACGAAUAAGGGGCGGGCUAACAUCCCGUUCCGAUGACGGUACCUCGAGAGGAAGCACCGGCUAACUCUGUGCCAGCAGCCGCGGUAA
RNAcentral lists this ribosomal RNA (401 nucleotides) under uncultured Anaeromyxobacter sp. Its description in RNAcentral is "bacterial SSU rRNA". It matches the Rfam family "Bacterial small subunit ribosomal RNA", at positions 142 to 523 of the family's 1533-position model. Lineage: Bacteria; Pseudomonadati; Myxococcota; Myxococcia; Myxococcales; Anaeromyxobacteraceae. The record is from RNAcentral.